CGAACGCUGGCGGCAGGCCUAACACAUGCAAGUCGAGCGCUCACUUCGGUGGGAGCGGCGGACGGGUUAGUAACGCGUGGGAACGUGCCCAGAUCUAAGGAAUAGCCACUGGAAACGGUGAGUAAUACCUUAUACGCCCUUCGGGGGAAAGAUUUAUCGGAUUUGGAUCGGCCCGCGUUAGAUUAGAUAGUUGGUGGGGUAACGGCCUACCAAGUCUACGAUCUAUAGCUGGUUUUAGAGGAUGAUCAGCAACACUGGGACUGAGACACGGCCCAGACUCCUACGGGAGGCAGCAGUGGGGAAUCUUGGACAAUGGGGGCAACCCUGAUCCAGCCAUGCCGCGUGAGUGAUGAAGGCCUUAGGGUCGUAAAGCUCUUUCGCCAGGGAUGAUAAUGACAGUACCUGGUAAAGAAACCCCGGCUAACUCCGUGCCAGCAGCCGCGGUAAUACGGAGGGGGUUAGCGUUGUUCGGAAUUACUGGGCGUAAAGCGCGCGUAGGCGGAUUGGAAAGUUGGGGGUGAAAUCCCGGGGCUCAACCCCGGAACUGCCUCCAAAACUAUCAGUCUAGAGUUCGAGAGAGGUGAGUGGAAUUCCGAGUGUAGAGGUGAAAU
RNAcentral lists this ribosomal RNA (611 nucleotides) under uncultured bacterium. RNAcentral describes it as "bacterial SSU rRNA". It matches the Rfam family "Bacterial small subunit ribosomal RNA", at positions 30 to 687 of the family's 1533-position model. The record is from RNAcentral.